Molecule: ribosomal RNA, 449 nt
Filed under: uncultured bacterium
Lineage: Bacteria
Description: partial 16S ribosomal RNA
Rfam family: Bacterial small subunit ribosomal RNA
Source: RNAcentral
CCUACGGGUGGCUGCAGUCGAGGAUCUUCGGCAAUGGGCGCAAGCCUGACCGAGCGACGCCGCGUGCGGGAUGAAGGCCUUCGGGUUGUAAACCGCUGUCAGGGGGGAUGAAAUCAUGGUGGGUACUCCCAUCAUGUUGACAGAGCCCCAGAGGAAGCGCGGGCUAAGUUCGUGCCAGCAGCCGCGGUAAUACGAACUGCGCGAACGUUAUUCGGAAUCACUGGGCUGACAGGAUCGAUAGUAGGCAGCGAAAUGCCUUGGAUCAAGCAAGGCACAGCGCGCUAAACUACUUUGCUUGAGUGAGUCAGGGGUGCACGGAACUUCCGGUGGAGCGGUGAAAUGUGUUGAUAUCGGAAGGAACACCGGCGGCGAAAGCGGUGCACUGGGGCUUAACUGACACUGAGGCACGAAAGCCAGGGGAGCGAACGGGAUUAGAUACCCCUGUAGUC